ACCACAUCAGAUGCUCAAUAGAAAGAGUUUCUUGUUCCUCAAGACACUGAAAUUCCUAUUCUGAAUGAUCUGCUCACGAUGUUCAACCUUUGGCUUCUGGCAAUGGCUACUGUCUUCUGUUCCAGAGAUAGUGAAAAAGCACCUUAAUGCCCAGAACAUGGGAUCAUCAUCGUCCAGAGCAGCCAGUAUGAAGCUCACAGGCACACUGGGUGAACAGGUCUCUGCUGCUUCCUCCCCAUGGUGAGGUGGACUCAAUCCUGCUGUCCAUUACCAAGAGGAGUCCUGGUGUCCUCCUGGGUCUUCCUCUGCUCCUGCUGACAGCUGGCGGCACCUCUCUGGCCUGAGCAUCCUUCAGAAGAUGCAGCCAUUGCUCUUCGCCCCGCUGCCACCACAUUUUUGCCUCUGUCUGCCUCAUUUCCUACAUGAGGCAGUCAUUAAGUGGAGCAGGAAAGGAAAAGAGACAUCUUACACAAAGGCACGGAGCUUUGCACUUCUCCAGCAGUGUGCUGUAUCAAUCACAAUGGGAACAGAGAGCACAGUGGAAAAUAUCUUUCUGCCCACCCUUGGAGAUCUGUGCUGUGAUGAAGGCUCUGAAACCAAUUGAAGAGAAGCACAAGCAGGACAGCUUUUAAACCGGCCCAAGAAAAAUGUUCAACAACCUAAGAACAAACUGCAAGUGUGCUCCUUCUUUGAAGACGGCCACAGGUGGAGAUGGCGACCUCAGAGCAUGACAGACUCAAGAUGUGUAAGGUGGCAGUAUCGUGGAGUCUCUGAGAUCAAUCGCAAAAUGACAUUACUUUGCUUAAUGGGUUGCUCAGAGUCAGCCUAACCUACAGCAAAAGCCAGAGAUCUGUUGUGAGCUGGCCAGCCUGACCUCUGUCAGAACAAGCUACCACAGCUCAGCAGGUGUGAGGUCCCUCCUCUAGCUGUUGCUGACCAUGUGCCUGAACCCCACAGACCCUUUUGUCACCUUCUGAACUCUGUUUACUUGUGAACAGCGUGAAAACCCUGGGGCAGUAGGGUUUAGAAAAAUCACACCCCUCUCUAACUUUCUGUGCUGGUGAUCUACAUGGGGGCAGAACUAAAAAUUCUUGCUUGGUUUUGGUGAUGAAUAUAUUUUAAUUAAUUAACAUUUAUUCCUAUCCUCAAAUAAUUCUACUCCCAGCUCUCACGCAUCUAGUAACUGGGAGUGCCCAUCCCAGAAAUUAUAGGGUUGCUUACCAGCUCCAGGGAAAUCAGUGUGAAAUCAACAAUUUGAAGCCCUGUGGACUGUGUUCCUGCAAUGGAUCGCUUCCUCUGUGCUGGCCAUUCAGAUGCAAGAUCGCACAAGCUAAUUUAGAUAAGAAGGAACUUUACAGCAGGGCUGUGCGAUAAGAGAAUCCAGAAACUAGUGCUGAGGGGAAGAGAACAGAGUCAGAAGAAGGAAAGGGUAGGAGGAGUUUCCUGUUGAACACACUCACCACACAGAUGCACACACGUAUGCAAUCAAAAUAGCAGCCAGAAACCCACAAAACAUAUGGUUUACCCCAAAGCUGAUACUCACUUCAACAAUUCCUUAAGUUACAGGAGAGAAGGAUGCACACAUUGUAUGGAAGGAUGGUAAACCAUCACCUUAUCCAAAGCCACAAAGCUGUUGCUGUUAAUGGAAAAAUAUCUAUCUAUACCAGUAGUCAUGGUGUUUUUAAGGGCUUGACCCAAUUUAUGGCAAUUGUUGGAUAGGAAAACUUCUGUUCCAUCCAUCAGUCUGGGUGGAUAAGGGCCCACAUCCUCAGCCGCUGCCCAAAAACUGUGUAGCUCAUGAUCGUCUGUACAGGUAUGCUUUCCCAACACAAAGCUUAGCUGCCUGCCAGCAAAGUUCCCUCAUUCUAUUUUUGGACUAGAGAUAGGAGAAAUAUUCCCAACAGUGUUGCUGUGGCUCUUGGAUCAAAAUGAGUGUUAUCAGGGGAAAGAGUAGGAGGAAUCAGGCAGGUUUUUUUCCCACCAUCUCUUCUUUCUCCUUAUCUUUCAGUCUCACUGCCUGAAAAGUGGUAGCUAGAAUUUGUUGUUUUUUUUUUUUUGUUUGUUUGUUUGUUUGUUUGUUUUUUAAAAAAAGAUGGGAUGGGAUGGGAUGGGAUGGGAUGGGAUGGGAUGGGAUGGGGGGAGGGAAGGACACAAAACCCAAUAAAAUAUUAGCCCCAAAAGCA
RNAcentral lists this long non-coding RNA (2183 nucleotides) under Numida meleagris (helmeted guineafowl). Its description in RNAcentral is "lncRNA (ENSNMEG00000004581.1)". The record is from RNAcentral. Lineage: Eukaryota; Metazoa; Chordata; Aves; Galliformes; Numididae.